Long non-coding RNA from Pollicipes pollicipes, 857 nucleotides. RefSeq lists it as uncharacterized. The record is from RefSeq and is a predicted model, not a curated record. Lineage: Eukaryota; Metazoa; Arthropoda; Thecostraca; Pollicipedomorpha; Pollicipedidae. The transcript has 2 exons.
AGGGACUGCCAUUGUCGGAGACAUAACGGAUGAGAUUCGUCGGUUGUAAGGGCGGCCGGGGAGCGGGCCGUGCCGCCGACCAUGCUGUGCUUUGUGCCUUGCCGACCGGCCGGGUGAGACGCGGGCGACCUCGCCAGAGACGGCCCGCCGUGGUGGCCAGCGUCGUCUGAGGCCCCGACGCCGGGCUGGCCGGACGUCGGCUCAGCGCUCUGCUACGGGGCCCGUCGGCCAGAACGGGCGCAGUUUCUGCUCCUGGGUCAGCCAGGCCAGAGCCGGGUCGAGGGGAGGGGGUAGUCGCUCUGGUGGUCCAUCGAGAUCACCAGCUUGAUUGUACGUAGCUAGCGAAGGAUUAUCAUGCUUCUCAUCCGCAUGUAUUGUCUAGGUGUGCUCUGCCGUUGCUCUGUCGUUUGACGUUGGCGCGUAUGACUGACGCCAGUCCACCUCCAAGAUGGUGCGCUUUGAUUGCGUUUUACGGCCCGAUUUGAGUUCACCACGAGCGGUAAAUUUCCAGAUGCAAAGCCGUGUUGACAAAUUGUGCAUAACGGUGGGUAUUUCUGCGGAGAAAGUUGUGGAGUCCAGCCGUGUAAGGUUUGGCCAUUUACCAUUGUGGGCAAGGUUUUUAAAACUAAAAAGAACGCAACAAGGCGACACACCCCAGAAUAUGGCCUGUUUGAAAUGUUAAUGCGUAGGUGUUCUUGCUAUACAUUUGAACCGAGUGUGUUUAUGAAACCGUAUAAGGUUUGGAAGACCACUUGAUAAUGUCGCCUGUCCUGUGGCGCUUAGGUGCGCGUCUAUAUGCGUACGGACAUUCCCAUCACGGUUGUGUUUGAUGCUGCAGAAUAAACUUGACAAAUGCU